CACAUGCAAGUCGAACGGCAGCACAGAGGAGCUUGCUCCUUGGGUGGCGAGUGGCGGACGGGUGAGGAAUACAUCGGAAUCUACUCUGUCGUGGGGGAUAACGUAGGGAAACUUACGCUAAUACCGCAUACGACCUACGGGUGAAAGCAGGGGAUCUUCGGACCUUGCGCGAUUGAAUGAGCCGAUGUCGGAUUAGCUAGUUGGCGGGGUAAAGGCCCACCAAGGCGACGAUCCGUAGCUGGUCUGAGAGGAUGAUCAGCCACACUGGAACUGAGACACGGUCCAGACUCCUACGGGAGGCAGCAGUGGGGAAUAUUGGACAAUGGGCGCAAGCCUGAUCCAGCCAUACCGCGUGGGUGAAGAAGGCCUUCGGGUUGUAAAGCCCUUUUGUUGGGAAAGAAAUCCAGCUGGCUAAUACCCGGUUGGGAUGACGGUACCCAAAGAAUAAGCACCGGCUAACUUCGUGCCAGCAGCCGCGGUAAUACGAAGGGUGCAAGCGUUACUCGGAAUUACUGGGCGUAAAGCGUGCGUAGGUGGUCGUUUAAGUCCGUUGUGAAAGCCCUGGGCUCAACCUGGGAACUGCAGUGGAUACUGGGCGACUAGAGUGUGGUAGAGGGUAG
Molecule: ribosomal RNA, 620 nt
Filed under: Stenotrophomonas geniculata
Lineage: Bacteria; Pseudomonadati; Pseudomonadota; Gammaproteobacteria; Lysobacterales; Lysobacteraceae
Description: bacterial SSU rRNA
Rfam family: Bacterial small subunit ribosomal RNA
Source: RNAcentral